This 253-nucleotide ribosomal RNA is filed under the name uncultured bacterium. RNAcentral describes it as "partial 16S ribosomal RNA". It matches the Rfam family "Bacterial small subunit ribosomal RNA", at positions 524 to 776 of the family's 1533-position model. The record is from RNAcentral.
UACGAAGGUGGCAAGCGUUACUCGGAUUUACUAGGCGUAAAGGGCAGGUAGGUGGUUUGAUAAGUCUGUUGUGUAAGCUCCCGGCUUAACUGGGAGAGGUCAACAGAAACUGUCAGGCUUGAGUAUAGGAGAGGGUACUGGAAUUCCCGGAGUAGCGGUGAAAUGCGCUGAUAUCGGGAGGAACACCAAUGGCGAAAGCAGGUACCUGGACUAUUACUGACACUCAGCUGCGAAAGCUAGGGGAGCAAACAGG